ACUUUGGAAAUUGUGUUUGCAGGCUCCGAAAGUACGUCCUAACGAGCUGAAAACAGAGGAACACAUUCUUGUGGGGGUUGUUUCGUGUAUGUAUGAGAAAAUGUGAAGAGCUUCUUUUCUUUCGCGGGGGUAAGAGAUGUAAAUAGUCUCGACGAAUCGGGGCAAAAGGUGAUAUUAGAGUUUACAUCUUGAAAGUUUUUUAGGGUUUCGACAUAUGAAUAUACACCGGCAUUGAACAUCGAAAGUAAUGAAAUUACAAUUAGCACAACCGCUGAUCCCGACGGUUGUCUGAAUGUGAAUUCCUCUGCCCUGGACCAAGCAAAAGGGAUUCAAGCGAAUUCGUUUGAACAGUUCCCUAGUUUUUUGAAACAGUUGCUUAAAUCGCAUCUGUCUGGAAAAUUUUAUUUGGGUUUACCAAAGAAAUUUUGUGAUGCACAUUUGCCAAGCCACGAUGGAAGUAUUAUAUUGGUUGACGAAAACGAUCAAGAAUACAAUACAAAGUACUCUGUUCGAAAAAAUAGACUUGAGUGGUGGUUGGA
Erythranthe guttata (spotted monkey flower) is the source of this 539-nucleotide non-coding RNA. The record is from RefSeq and is a predicted model, not a curated record. NCBI's taxonomy places the organism in Eukaryota, Viridiplantae, Streptophyta, Magnoliopsida, Lamiales, Phrymaceae.